AACGAACGCUGGCGGCAUGCCUAACACAUGCAAGUCGAACGAGACCUUCGGGUCUAGUGGCGCACGGGUGCGUAACGCGUGGGAACCUGCCCUUAGGUUCGGAAUAACUCCCCGAAAGGGGUGCUAAUACCGGAUAAUGUCUUCGGACCAAAGAUUUAUCGCCUUUGGAUGGGCCCGCGUUGGAUUAGCUAGUUGGUAGGGUAAAAGCCUACCAAGGCGACGAUCCAUAGCUGGUCUGAGAGGAUGAUCAGCCACACUGGGACUGAGACACGGCCCAGACUCAUACGGGAAGAAGGAGGGGGGAAAUGGGAAAAGGGGGGAAAGGCCUGAACAAGAAAGGCCGGGGGAGGGAAGAAGGCGUGGGGGUAGAAAGGUUUUUUUACCGGGGAAAAAAAGGAAAGAACGGGAAAAAAAAGCCCCGGAAAACUCCGUG
RNAcentral lists this ribosomal RNA (433 nucleotides) under uncultured bacterium. RNAcentral's name for it is "partial 16S ribosomal RNA". It matches the Rfam family "Bacterial small subunit ribosomal RNA", at positions 30 to 507 of the family's 1533-position model. The record is from RNAcentral.